Long non-coding RNA from Tupaia belangeri chinensis (Chinese tree shrew), 1282 nucleotides. RefSeq lists it as uncharacterized. The transcript has 2 exons. The record is from RefSeq and is a predicted model, not a curated record. Lineage: Eukaryota; Metazoa; Chordata; Mammalia; Scandentia; Tupaiidae.
AUUGUGUGCCAUCUGGACAUGGAGGAAAGUGAAAAGGUAGGAAGACUACAUGCCCAUUUCAAAAGACUAGACUACAACUUUUCAGUAACACGGGAAGUCAAUUAAGAAAUCAAUAUUUUACACUCUUCAGGUUUCUAUGAAUUAAGGAACUUUCUACAGUUCUUCCCUAAAACAAUAAAUGACAACAAAAACAAACAAACAAUUAAAACAUCAACCAAACAAAAGAAAAACAUCAUUUUAAGAAAAUAUGGACAGAUGGAAAGACUCAAGAUAAGGAACAUUUCAAAACUUAAGUCAUUCAGACCUUCCUGGAAAAGCCUCCAGAGCCUAUGCUACGUGCCUGCUGUCUCGGGGUAGUUUCUCUGAAAAGCAGACCUGAGAUGAGUCUGGUGUGUAGUAUGUUUAUUAAGAACCAGUUCUGUGAAGGGAAAGCAAAGGAACUGGAACUGAACAAAGAAGUCAACGUCAGUGCAGGCCUGGCUAAGCCUCAGCCAACCUGGUGGAGAUCCUUGGAGCAAAUAUUGUCCAUCAGAGUGUCCCAAGUCCAGCCAAAAGCACCUGGUUUCUAUACUCCAGUUUCUCUUACCUUGCCCCAAGAAGGGAGUGGUCUCUGGAGCAGUGGUUCUUAGCAGCCUAGGCAGAUUCUGAAAAUGCUGAUGAAUAAUGAUGCUGAAGAUGCUACCACAGUGAGGUGGCAUGCUAUUAGUGAAAGGAGAUCUCGGUGUCUCUCACACCUGCACACCCCUUUUGGAUGGAACACAAAGAUAGAACCAGGCCAUAUUCCUGGCCUUGGGAGAACUAUAUCUAGAUCAUUCCAACCAGAUGGCUGUAUCUCCUAUACUUAGAAAUACUAUUUCAGAAUUAUAGAAACAUGAAAAUCAUGUUGAGAAAAGAAUUCAAAAUUGAGUUUAAAAUCAUUUAUUAAUAAUGAAGUACUUAUGGGAAUUAAAAGAAGAAAAGCAGAAAAAAACUAUAUUGAUAUGAAGAUAUUGUUCUGUUACCUUUCUAAACAUGGAGGAAAUUACAGAUCAAUAAAACAUACAAAAUAAUCACAAAGGCCCACAGAACUAAAAGGAACAUUAGAAAGUGAUGCAGAGCACCCUCGAACUAUAGGAGAAAACUGGUUUCCUUCCUCCAUCAUGUCAGUUAUAGUCUCACUUGAGGGACCUUUAACCAAGAUAUUUAACUUCUCUUUGCCUGAGCCACUAAUAAUUGACCAGUACACUAUCAUAUAGAAAUUAUGACACCAUGUAUAGGAUUGAAGGGAAGAUCAUUAAAAAAA